GCCAGGCAUUGUGGCGGGCGCCUGUAGUCCCAGCUACUUGGGAGGCUGAGGCAGGAGACUUGCUUGAGUCCAGGAGUUGGAGGUUGCUGUGAGCUUGAUGCCAUGGCACUCUGCCCAGGGGGAUAGCUUGAGGCUCCAUCUCAAAAAAAAAAAAAAAAAAAAAGAAGGGUCCUUACAGGUUUUGUUUCUUUUUUCUUUCUUUCUUUUUUUUUUUUUGAGACAGAGCCUCAAGCUGUCACCCUGGAUAGAGUGCCGUGGCAUCACAGCUCACAGCAACUUCCAAAUCCUGGGCUCAAGCGUAUCUCCUGCUUCUG
RNAcentral lists this signal recognition particle RNA (314 nucleotides) under Otolemur garnettii (small-eared galago). RNAcentral describes it as "Metazoan signal recognition particle RNA". It matches the Rfam family "Metazoan signal recognition particle RNA". From Rfam's summary of the family: The signal recognition particle (SRP) is a universally conserved ribonucleoprotein. Lineage: Eukaryota; Metazoa; Chordata; Mammalia; Primates; Galagidae. The record is from Rfam by way of RNAcentral.